RNAcentral lists this unclassified non-coding RNA (361 nucleotides) under fungal sp. RNAcentral's name for it is "partial internal transcribed spacer region". The stretch from base 1 to 46 matches the Rfam family "Eukaryotic small subunit ribosomal RNA", at positions 1786 to 1831 of the family's 1831-position model. Lineage: Eukaryota; Fungi. The record is from RNAcentral.
AAGUCGUAACAAGGUAACCGUAGGUGAACCUGCGGUUGGAUCAUUACUGAAUUUUGUACUUGUUGAUUCCGCAAGGUUUCUUCAUUUACAUUCAAUGAGGAGGUUAGUCUUGUUGAAAGACAAGGCUCUCUGACUCAACACCCAAACCCUUGUGAAUUUGAAAACGUAAAUGUAAUUUCCCUUGUGGAGGUAGUGGCUUGGUAACAAGUCUUUUUAUUUCCCAAGGGGGUUACUAUUGUUGAAAAACAUUAUCAUUUUAAAACUUUUUACUUUUACUUUUUGUACUGCUUUUGCUUCGGCACUAGUCUUUAUGAAAAUAUUAAAUUGAAAACAACUUUUGACAACGGAUCUCUUGGUUCUC